Long non-coding RNA from Triticum aestivum (bread wheat), 4212 nucleotides. RefSeq lists it as uncharacterized. The transcript is spliced from 9 exons. The record is from RefSeq and is a predicted model, not a curated record. NCBI's taxonomy places the organism in Eukaryota, Viridiplantae, Streptophyta, Magnoliopsida, Poales, Poaceae.
CUACCAUCAUACCCUACCCCCAGCGGCCGGCAGAUCGGCGUACUGGGUUUGCUUCUUCGCUUAGGCUUCUAGGAAUUUACUGCUAAUCUUUAGUUUUCUUGCAUUAACUAUUUGAGCACAUGGUACAGUAGCAGCAUGGCUGAUGCCUGCUAUUUCAUCGCUGGAACAUACUUCAUUCAUUGAUUUACUAGAGUAGAUUUGAUUGGCACUGUAUUUGAUCACAUGCUCUGCUUAGGCAAUACAUGUUGUUCAGCCAGCAUCUCUAAGAUUGGUUAUGUUGGAAACAAUUUAAUGCCAGUAUUGAUAUUCCAUUCACUAAACUAACAGAGAUCCAAACUGCAGGUUGCAGAAGGUGAUGUACCAAUAGUUGCAUCACAUGGCUUAGUCCUGUACAUGAGAAUUGCUUGAUCAGAUAUUCAGAUUCAGUCUUAUCUUCAUAGUUUUUCUAAUUGUUCGAUCUUGUGCAGAGCUGAAAUUGAAUUGUACAAGGAGCUUGAACCAUCGACUCGCUUACUGAUCUUGAAAGCAAUAUGCGACAUACGUGUCGUGGUCCGUGCUAUUGCCAUCCUAGGGAGGCAAUGAAGUUUUUCAAAGUGCCAAUCUUUUAAAAUGUGCAUUGCGGUAGAGAACUGUUACACCAUUCUGAUGUUGUAUGUCUCAAUUGUGUUUUGUGUUAAGUAUAUCAAUCCUAACUUGGACUGACAGUUUGAACCGAGUUCCAUUAUGUUGAUUCAGAUUGUUAGAAAGCUUAUUUCACUAUGCUGAGAAGCGAUACAGGGGCAUAAAGCAAGCGAGCAGGUGUGUGCAGCGACCUGCCACUGCACUAAUAGCCUUGAGAGAGCACCGGGGCUGGCUCGACAGGGCAUGCCGCCUGCCGGUGGACACCUGGAUGUGCGCGCCGGAGAUGGACCCGCUUCGUUGCCUCUGCAGCCUAGACAGAGCUCCGCCAGUGCUGAGACGUGCUCCCGUCGUUGUUGGCUGUCGAAUUUGCAAUGCAAUCCAUCCCUAUGUCGAUGUCUUAACCACUUCGUACUUCGGCACAAUCCGCAGAACAUAGCAGCUGCCGCAAUUUACCCAUUGAUUUCUUGGAGUGAUCCAAACCUAGGAAAGCCUGCUACUUGUGCAAACAACAGGAUGUAAGCAAUGGAGAAACUCGUGCAGAUGAUGAUUGAAGCAUUCUUCACGAAUUUUCCAACCUAAACUGGCUACAGAGUUGGGGAAAAGACGAGUCUAGGCUCUUGAUGAACACAUCUUCUUUACCAGAUGACUAACAGUUGGCACCUCUAUACAUUACAUCAGGCCAACGCUACAAAGCCCCUGUUUGGGAAUAUUUGACUCAGAGCUUUUGCUGAAUGGUAUUGUCGUCCAGAAGCUAGAGUUCGAAAGGUAUGUCCUGGUGCUCCUCACUUUCUGGGAUGAUCAAUCUCCUAUUAUACAUGGCGACGUACACAGGACAAGCCCAAGCUAGCUGAUCAAAAGGCACACAAUCUGUGUAUGCAGCAAGAGUUGUUGGCGGCUAAAAUCAUGAAGCAACGGACUAACAAAUUGUGGCCAGCAUACACGCAGGCGAAGAUAGCCAAUAUUAUUUGAAAUUAUCAGGCAGUGGCCCUCUUCAAGUCCUACUUUGGUGGAACUUUUGAUCAAGAUGCUAUCAGGAAUAACUUGGUGCUAAUAUACAAACUUCUUGAUGUGCAGAGAUUAUGGACUUUGGUUAUCCUUAGAAUCUCUCACCUAAAUUUUUGAAGUUAUACAUAACCCAGGAACAUGUACGGUCGCCAUUUUCCUCCAAGCCUUCAGAUAAGCCUGUUCUAAAUGCGACCCUGCAAAUUAUCGGUGUUGUUGGUUGGAGAAGAGAUGGUAUUGUGUACAAGAAGAAUGAGGGUCAAACUUUUGAUUUUGGCACUUAGUAAACUACAUCUUGUGCAUUGGAGGAGGUAGCCCCUGGACUGGUGAAGACGUGAAGGGCGACAUGAGGAGGCUUGCGGUGGUUCCAGGAGCAUCUCUUCGACAAGUAGCAGUGCACUCCGUUGGACAGCUACCAACCGAGACGGCCGGCUGCCUGACAAGGACACCAUUUCUGGUCUUACAGUCCUGGAGCGGUGAGCAUCUGAGCUUCCAUCACCGAUCUGAAUAACAAACUUGCGGCGCUCCUUAGCGUCACUGAUUGAAACAUUAGCAACAAAAAUACUUGCUUCAGGCUUAAGGAGUAAAGAACGGCAAGCAUGGAUGACAGAGGGACAACACCUGCUCCAAAUUUGAAAAAUCCAGGAGGUUUACAACAGGCAUGCAAGGUCCUCGAAAAGUUCAAGUAAGUGCUAUACGUGACGUAGAGGAGAAUGCUAUAUAGGACAUGCACAUGUAGUUGCUGCUUCUAAAGAACGGCACAAGUUUGGACCAAAUGCUGGGAGAAUACAAAAGGUAUAAUUGCAUAAAGUUUACUACUGUAAUAGAUCCAGGUUGCAGUGAUGAAGAGGACAAUGAUGUGUAGGACAUAGUGGUCGUUACUUCUAUAGAUUCAGAAGGAUGCAGGUUCGGAUCAAUUGUCAAGAUGAUACAAAAGGUGUUGCACAAAUUUUACAUACUACGUUGGGUGAUUUGUUUGGCAUUCAUUCUCUGUUAUGCCUGAUGCAUGUGUCUUAAGCCUACUAAUAACUUUUUGGAUCAAUGGUAAAUCUACUGAACAAACUCCUGUCUUAUCCCUAUUGUGUGCCUUAAGGUUAAUCUAUUCAUGGUUAGUUUUCCUUACUGUACAAAUGUCUUCUCUUUUUUGUAUAUUUUCUCUUCUCUCUCCUUUACGGUAAUAUAGACCGUGCUCACAUUGUUGCAGCUUGCAAUUAGUUCUAGAUUUGUUCAUGAGUGUCAUUCGAGGUCAGAGUAAAUAUUUUGGCAGAGUAAACAAUGAUGGAAGUGUCAUACAAUUUCGUCUUAUAUAGCUAUAACAAUUUUGAUACAUAUUUUUAUCUGAUUAACUUGCACUUCUGCACCACCAUAACAAGCGGUGGAGAUCUGCCUCUUUGUUUUCAAUUAAUGUGAGAACUUCUAGCCUUCUAGAACAAGAGUGGUAGCUUCUUUAACUUUGUGUUGUAACAAAUAUUGUAUAUGGUCAAUCCAGGAUGAUCUACUUAUUAACUUUGUUAAUCUGGUUACAGUCAAUCUAGGGGGUGCUUCUUUCGCUUCGGUAUUUAUCAGUAAUAUUGGUAGUUCUCUGUAGUACUCUGUAUUAGUUUUUACCUCUUUGUCCUUCAUGAUUGCUUAGUUGCAUUGUUUUUGCUUCUGACUAUACUGCUCUGCUACAGAUGAUAACGCCAUUUGAUAAACGUUUGGAAAUUCAAGCCUGGUCUUGUUCCGCAACAUGUGACCUUCUACUUCUUAAUGGACUUUAAGUUUUAGUCACCCUUAUAUCGUUAGGUAAUAUAACAAGGUUAUUGUUUAGAUCAUAUAAUCAAGCAUGUCUGCUUAUCGAAAAGUUAAGCUUUCCCACCUUGCACGCAACUGCUACCAUUAUUGCUUAGAAGAGGCAACUUAGUGAUACAAUCUCUUGACUAUAAGGCAGUUAGUGAUUGCCAUGUUUGUUGAAUUAAAGUUUCACCUGUCAGAUCAGUUUACACACAUUGAAUUUUACUUAGUGUGCCUCUAAGGUUUUACCUUCUACAAAGCUAUAGCACCUACAGGUGAUCCGCUUUUUCUUCUUCUAGAUCCCCCUGUGUGUGUAUAAUCUUCUUCUAGAUCCCCCUGUGUGUGUGUAUAAUCGACAGACAUUGUCCUUCUAAUUUCUUUUUCCAGUAGAUGAUUGUGGACAAAGUUUCCAAUCCAUGCCUUUUUGCUAUACUAAUUUUUUUGGGUGAUGCAGCAUAAGUUAUAUAAUUGCUGCACUUAAGUAACUGAUUUAUCUGGCAAUAGAUUGUCACAAUGAUAGCUCUAACCUUUGUGCCAACAGUCUGAAAAUUGUAGCAUUAUGCUUUAAUAUUUUUUAAUGUUCUUUAGGUGGUUGUUUCUCAGAUGUAGUACACUUGGCAUAGCUUUUCAGAAGACAACAGUUCAGUAGGAAGCAAGUGAAUGAAACAUUUUCGUUGUUUUCUACUCCAUAGUUAUGUACAAACACACAAGUGGUGCUUAAACAUUUUGUUGCUAUUUAUCCUUUCAUGAGCCGGAUGUGCCAUUGACGGCGGUGGCAAGCCUGGAUUAGUUGGAUUCAGAAGGUGGAUUGAAUUA